UAAAUACUGGAAUUCUGUAAAACACUGCAAUCUAUUUUAUCAUCUUUUCUAAACAGAAAGAGCAAAGUCAGGAAAUUCAUUGCUGAGGAGUUGUACUUCUCUUUGAACCUACUUGAUACUAAACAUUUGGGGAGUUAAAGCAGCCAGGUUUCAAUGUAAACAGGCAAAUGACUGAAUCAAAUGCACAAAGUGAACUAUUCAUUUUUCCUUAUGUGUUGAGUGAGCUCUUCUGAUAAUGGGAUAAUAAUGCUUUGUAAUCAUCUAGUGCUUUUCAGCUGAAGAAGUACUGUAAAGCUUUAAUCUUUAUAGUGCCUUUUAAAAAAUGUUAUCUAUCUUACCUGUCCAUUCUCUCUUAGGCUAUAAACAUUCGCUUUCCCACCUGCCUCUCCUCUCUUAGGCCACAGAGCCGUACCCUCCAGGUGUACCAGCAUAAAGCUUACCAACUCCAGAGACAACCACCUCCUCAUCCAAUGUUACUGCUUCCUCUGAUAUUUCAGGAGGGAUCCAUGCUGUUCAAUGACCUUCUCACGUUGGAGUGGACUGAAGCAGAGCAGAGUCAAUCUGCUGACAUCACCUCAGUUGUAAGCAGAGCUCCCUCUCACCCCUCCCUUGCUGCCUCCAUCCUGCACAGGGACGCCCGUGGCUGUGAGCUGCGCUGCCCUCUGACAUCAGCUCCCCCAGUGCACACACGUAUAUCCAUUGCACAGCCUCCUUUCAUUUGCUUCUCAUUCCUGCAAAAAGGGGUUCCCUUGACAUCUUUGCUUCAAGUACAGAGUCUACAUUUAAAAGGAGUACCUUCCUAUUCUUUCUCCUGGGAAUGUUUUUAUUACCCACUGUUAUGUCUCUGUAUCACUUGCUAGUAAAAUAAUAGCGAAGUGUUCGGAGCAGCUGAACCAUACAACAUUUUUCCCUCAUGUGCUUGCCUUUUUCUCUCCCCUAUUGCAAAAGUGCUAUCUGAUUCCCACUAAAACAAGAUUUAAAGAUGACAGCUGUCUUCCAUGUAGUGACAUUCACUAUGAAGAAGAGAAAUGUGGACUGAUUUCUUUAACUUGAUCCUGUACAUGCUCAUUACUGCAGUAAUCCAAACAUUCUCUGUUUGCUGAAUAAGGAAAUAUCUAGUUUGAAAAGAGCUAUUUGGCUUAGUACAGGUUGGUUGGACCCAGCUCUUAUAGGGUCUGCACAAAACCUUUGUUUAUUUUUCUCUGCUGAAAUUGUUCAAAUGGCUUCUCAUUAUCAUUGGGUGGGACUGAAAAGAAGCACUGAUGUCAGUUUUGUGACACGUCCUGUUAUUUAAGUAAUUCACAGUCUAGUCUGGGACACAUUUGACCUUCCUAAAUAAUUGGCUAUGUAGUUGUUUUUUUUUGUUGUUGAUAGGUUUUCUUUUUUCUUUUCCCCUUUAGCAUGAAUAAAUGAAGAAUGAACAAACUAACUACUAUUGGC
RNAcentral lists this long non-coding RNA (1440 nucleotides) under Phasianus colchicus (ring-necked pheasant). RNAcentral's name for it is "lncRNA (ENSPCLG00000003442.1)". The record is from RNAcentral. Lineage: Eukaryota; Metazoa; Chordata; Aves; Galliformes; Phasianidae.